GGUCAGGACGAACGCUGGCGGCGUGCCUAAUACAUGCAGGUCGAACGGCUUUCUAUGGAAGCUUGCUUCCACUGAGAAGAUAGUGGCGAACGGGUGAGUAACACGUGGGUAACCUGCCCAUAAGAGGGGGAUAACAUCCGGAAACGGGUGCUAAUACCGCAUAGUUUUCUUGAUCGCAUGAUUGAGAAAGGAAAGACGGCCUUUGUGCUGUCGCUUAUGGAUGGACCCGCGGCGUAUUAGUUAGUUGGUGAGGUAAUGGCUCACCAAGACGAUGAUACGUAGCCGACCUGAGAGGGUGAUCGGCCACAUUGGGACUGAGACACGGCCCAAACUCCUACGGGAGGCAGCAGUAGGGAAUCUUCCGCAAUGGACGAAAGUCUGACGGAGCAACGCCGCGUGAGUGAAAGAAGGUUUUCGGAUCGUAAAACUCUGUUGUCAGAGAAGAACAAGUCGGAGAGUAACUGCUCCAGCCUUGACGGUAUCUGACCAGAAAGCCACGGCUAACUACGUGCCAGCCGCCGC
This 522-nucleotide ribosomal RNA is filed under the name uncultured bacterium. Its description in RNAcentral is "bacterial SSU rRNA". It matches the Rfam family "Bacterial small subunit ribosomal RNA", at positions 22 to 518 of the family's 1533-position model. The record is from RNAcentral.